Molecule: non-coding RNA, 27 nt
Filed under: Homo sapiens (human)
Lineage: Eukaryota; Metazoa; Chordata; Mammalia; Primates; Hominidae
Source: RNAcentral
UAAUCUUGCCUGUUGUUGUACCUCAGC